Molecule: ribosomal RNA, 274 nt
Filed under: uncultured bacterium
Lineage: Bacteria
Description: partial 16S ribosomal RNA
Rfam family: Bacterial small subunit ribosomal RNA
Source: RNAcentral
AUACGGAGGGUGCAAGCGUUAAUCGGAAUUACUGGGCGUAAAGCGUACGUAGGCGGUUAAGUCAGUCAGAUGUGAAAGCCCUGGGCUCAACCUGGGAACUGCAUUUGAUACUGCUUGGCUAGAAUAUGGUAGAGGGAAGUGGAAUUCCGGGUGUAGCGGUGAAAUGCGUAGAUAUCCGGAGGAACACCAGUGGCGAAGGCGGCUUCCUGGACCAAUAUUGACGCUGAGGUACGAAAGCGUGGGUAGCAAACAGGAUUAGAUACCCCAGUAGUCC